UCUACAGCAGAUCCUGACAACAACAAAGAAAACCUUCAAGAACUGAUCGAAUUUAGUUCAAAGACGAAUGAGGUCAACCCACCCAGCCAAAGACCCGAAGGAGUAUUUCAAAUGGGCGAUUGUGAUACCCUUUAUUGAUGAUAUGAAUACACAACUGGCUGAGCAAUUCUCUGACUCAUCUAUCACAGCUGUUUGAGCAUUCAUGUCGUUGAUACCAUCAGUGAUAAGAGGGAUGGACUUGAAAGAGAUAUCGACAUUGGUGGAUCAACUUUCAGGAUAUGAACCAGACAUUACUCAUCUUGGUAGUUUACAAACUGAGCUAGAGAUCUGGCGAGGGAGGUGGAAGAAUUGUGAGAACUCUCCAGAUACUCUAAUAAGUGCCCUCAAACCUUGCUUUAAAGAUUUGUUUCCAAAUCUUCAUGUGCUGCUUCAACUUUGAUGCCUCAUUCCUAUCAUUAACUGCGAAGCAGAAAGAUCAUUUUCGGCUGUUUGACAAACAAAGAUGACAUUGCGAUCAGUGAUGUUGGAGGACCACCUUAGUGCCGUAGUAUUGCUCAACUCUAACCGCAGACUUCAAAUUAACGUACAAGAUGUUAUUCAGAGAUUCAUCCUCAAAAAGCCAAGCCGACUAUUUUCAACCUUGUACAAAGAGUAGACCUUAUCUCUUGGUGAAAUAAGUAUCAAUGAUGGUUGUGUUGCAGUUUUGACUUUGAAGGGGAUAAA
This is a long non-coding RNA of Limulus polyphemus (Atlantic horseshoe crab), 723 nucleotides long. RefSeq lists it as uncharacterized. The transcript is spliced from 3 exons. Lineage: Eukaryota; Metazoa; Arthropoda; Merostomata; Xiphosura; Limulidae. The record is from RefSeq and is a predicted model, not a curated record.